RNAcentral lists this long non-coding RNA (531 nucleotides) under Cicer arietinum (chickpea). Its description in RNAcentral is "long non-coding RNA (CARI_LNC002254)". Lineage: Eukaryota; Viridiplantae; Streptophyta; Magnoliopsida; Fabales; Fabaceae. The record is from RNAcentral.
UUGAUUAUAACAUAUCACCUAUUGCAUCUAAUCUUAUCAUAAGAUAACUUAUAUUGCUAAAUAAUGGGUAAAUUUCAGGUUAUGCAAAAAUGUUUAAUUAUUUUUAUUGUAUUAGUAGCCUGCCAUUUUUUCCAUCCAUCUCAAGCUUGGAGGACAAAUCAAGAUGUGGAAAGUGUAGGAUAUUCAUCAAGUAAAGACACAAAUGUUAUCCGACCCACAUCAGCAGGACCUAGUCCACCAGGAGUUGGUCAUGGUACUAAACCUAGGAGUCCGGGUCCAAUCCCUUCUAGUAAUGUUAUCCAACCCACACAUUCAGGACCUAGUCAUAAAGGAAGGGGUCAUGGUACUAAACCUAGGAGUCCGGGUCCAAUCCCUUCUAGUGUGGGACAUUAUGUGGAAGUAAAAUAAUGUCCUUGAUGUAUCAAAUACUAAAUAAUAAUAAUAAUAUAUUUUUUAUUUUUUAUCUUCUACUAUAUAUUUUAUUUCUUUUUUUUUUUUUUUUUUUUAUAUUUUAAAAGAUUUGUGUUUGUC